CUCAAGUGAUGAUUAUUGGAGGUAGAGCACUGUUUGGACGAGGGGCCCCUCUCGGGUUACCGAAUUCAGACAAACUCCGAAUGCCAAUUAAUUUAACUUGGGAGUCAGAACAUGGGUGAUAAGGUCCGUGUUCGAAAGGGAAACAGCCCAGACCACCAGCUAAGGUCCCAAAAUAUAUGUUAAGUGGAAAAGGAUGUGGCGUUGCCCAGACAACUAGGAUGUUGGCUUAGAAGCAGCCAUCAUUUAAAGAGUGCGUAAUAGCUCACUAGUCGAGUGACACUGCGCCGAAAAUGUACCGGGGCUAAACAUAUUACCGAAGCUGUGGAUUGUCCUUUGGACAAUGGUAGGAGAGCGUUCUAAGGGCGUUGAAGCAUGAUCGUAAGGACAUGUGGAGCGCUUAGAAGUGAGAAUGCCGGUGUGAGUAGCGAAAGACGGGUGAGAAUCCCGUCCACCGAUUGACUAAGGUUUCCAGAGGAAGGCUCGUCCGCUCUGGGUUAGUCGGGUCCUAAGCUGAGGCCGACAGGCGUAGGCGAUGGAUAACAGGUUGAUAUUCCUGUACCACCUAUAAUCGUUUUA
Molecule: ribosomal RNA, 576 nt
Filed under: Staphylococcus aureus
Lineage: Bacteria; Bacillati; Bacillota; Bacilli; Caryophanales; Staphylococcaceae
Description: partial 23S ribosomal RNA
Rfam family: Bacterial large subunit ribosomal RNA
Source: RNAcentral